This 357-nucleotide unclassified non-coding RNA is filed under the name soil metagenome. RNAcentral's name for it is "partial contains 5.8S ribosomal RNA, internal transcribed spacer 2, and large subunit ribosomal RNA". The stretch from base 1 to 119 matches the Rfam family "5.8S ribosomal RNA", at positions 35 to 154 of the family's 154-position model. The record is from RNAcentral.
GAUGAAGAACGCAGCGAAAUGCGAUACGUAAUGUGAAUUGCAAAUUCAGUGAAUCAUCGAGCCUUUGAACGCACAUUGCGCCCGUCAGUAUUCUGGCGGGCAUGCCUGUUCGAGCGUCAUUACGCCCCUCAAGUCCCCUGUGGACUUGGUGUUGGGGAUCGGCGAGGCUGGUUUUCCAGCACAGCCGUCCCUUAAAUUAAUUGGCGGUCUCGCCGUGGCCCUCCUCUGCGCAGUAGUAAACCACUCGCAACAGGAGCCCGGCGCGGUCCACUGCCGUAAAACCCCCCAACUUUUUAUAGUUGACCUCGAAUCAGGUAGGACUACCCGCUGAACUUAAGCAUAUCAAUAAGCGGAGGA